Molecule: ribosomal RNA, 227 nt
Filed under: uncultured bacterium
Lineage: Bacteria
Description: partial 16S ribosomal RNA
Rfam family: Bacterial small subunit ribosomal RNA
Source: RNAcentral
CUGAACCAGCCAAGUAGCGUGAAGGAUGACUGCCCUAUGGGUUGUAAACUUCUUUUAUACGGGAAUAAAGUGAGGCACGUGUGCCUUUUUGUAUGUACCGUAUGAAUAAGGAUCGGCUAACUCCGUGCCAGCAGCCGCGGUAAUACGGAGGAUCCGAGCGUUAUCCGGAUUUAUUGGGUUUAAAGGGAGCGUAGGCGGAUGCUUAAGUCAGUUGUGAAAGUUUGCGG